UACGUAGGGUGCAAGCGUUGUCCGGAAUUAUUGGGCGUAAAGAGCGUGUAGGCGGCCAGGCAGGUCCGCUGUGAAAACUCGAGGCUCAACCUCGAGAGGUCGGUGGAAACCGUCUGGCUAGAGUCCGGAAGAGGAGAGUGGAAUUCCCGGUGUAGCGGUGAAAUGCGUAGAUAUCAGGAAGAACACCCGUGGCUAAGGCGGCUCUCUAGUACGGUACUGACGCUGAGACGCGAAAGCGUGGGGAGCGAACAGG
This 253-nucleotide ribosomal RNA is filed under the name uncultured bacterium. RNAcentral describes it as "partial 16S ribosomal RNA". It matches the Rfam family "Bacterial small subunit ribosomal RNA", at positions 524 to 776 of the family's 1533-position model. The record is from RNAcentral.